GACGGGUCCCCGCACAAGCAGCGGAGCGUGUGGUUUAAUUCGUUGCUACACGAAGAACCUUACCUGGGUUUGACAUAGCAGUGGUAGGGAAGAGAAAUCGGACCGACCCUUCGGGGAGCUGUUACAGGUGUUGCAUGGCUGUCGUCAGCUCGUGUCGUGAGAUGUUCGGUUAAGUCCGCUAACGAGCGCAACCCGCGUUGUGUGUUAUAUGUGUCACACAAUACCGCCGGUAUUAAGCCGGAGGAAGGUGCGGAUGACGUCAAGUCAGCAUGACCUUUAUAUCCAGGGCUACACACACGCUACAAUGGACAGUACAACAGGUUGCCAAGCCGCGAGGCGGAGCCAAUCCUCUAAAGCCGUCCUCAGUUCAGAUUGCAGGCUGCAACUCGCCUGCAUGAAGUUGGAGUUGCUAGUAACCGCAGGUCAGCUAUACUGCGGUGAAUACGUUCCCGGGGAUU
Molecule: ribosomal RNA, 458 nt
Filed under: uncultured Anaerolineaceae bacterium
Lineage: Bacteria; Bacillati; Chloroflexota; Anaerolineae; Anaerolineales; Anaerolineaceae
Description: bacterial SSU rRNA
Rfam family: Bacterial small subunit ribosomal RNA
Source: RNAcentral